AAAUAAACAUUUUACAGGAGAAAUAUCCUAAUAUUACAUGCUUAAAAUUCAUCACAAAUUUAGUCAGUGUCCACGAGUUAAUUAUUUUGAUUAUUGUGGGCACUGCACUAUUUUUGUAUGUGUGUAUCCGGGCCGGGCACGUAUGGGGAGCGGCUUCUGGUGGCGGACACUGUGGCUGGGAAGGGGAGCUGCCGGAGGGAGUAGGCUCCUGUGGGGCCAGUGGAGAAGCUUUGUGGCAAGCUGGUGGAGGAGGUGUUGGUAGCGAGUGUGAAGGGUGGUGAGGUGUAGGGUGUGGAGGGCCUCCUGGCUCAGGCGUGUAGAUGGGAGCAGGAGAAGAAAGAACAAAGGAAGAGGACGAAGAAGAAAGGAAAAAUGGAAGUGGAAGAAGAGGAGGAGCCAAGCCACAAUAUUUAGGUCCGCAGAAAACGACACGCUGAUUUAUUUGAAGUCAAGGAUGGAGAUUAAAACGGCCUUUAAAAACACCACACCCGUUUUGUCCACCGCCAUCACCACCUUCUCCCAGAUCAAGGAAGUGUAUUACGGACUCACACAAAAGGAAGAGGUGAGUACCCGUAUCACAGGUCACACCGUGGGACUGACACCGCUGCAGCAACCCUUCGGAAUAAAGUCAAGUACAAAUUACGGUUUGCUAGGCGUUAGGUGUUAGGCAUAGGGCGAUAGGCGGCGCGGCUAACCAUUCUCUUCCAGGUACAUGUUAAUUAUCUAGUCUUCUUCAGUAAUGCCCUGGUUACUUUUGGCUAAAAUAAGCGUCUUGUGUGUGUGUGUGUGUGUGUGUGUGUGUGUGUGUGUGUGUGUGUGUAU
Long non-coding RNA from Portunus trituberculatus (swimming crab), 822 nucleotides. RefSeq lists it as uncharacterized. The record is from RefSeq and is a predicted model, not a curated record. Lineage: Eukaryota; Metazoa; Arthropoda; Malacostraca; Decapoda; Portunidae. The transcript has 4 exons.